CGCUGUGAAGAUGCAGUGUACCCGCGGCAAGACGGAAAGACCCCGUGAACCUUUACUAUAGCUUGACACUGAACAUUGAGCCUUGAUGUGUAGGAUAGGUGGGAGGCUUUGAAGUGUGGACGCCAGUCUGCAUGGAGCCGGCCUUGAAAUACCACCCUUUAAUGUUUGAUGUUCUAACGUGGACCCGUGAUCCGGGUUGCGGACAGUGUCUGGUGGGUAGUUUGACUGGGGCGGUCUCCUCCUAAAGAGUAACGGAGGAGCACGAAGGUUGGCUAAUCCUGGUCGGACAUCAGGAGGUUAGUGCAAUGGCAUAAGCCAGCUUGACUGCGAGCGUGACGGCGCGAGCAGGUGCGAAAGCAGGUCAUAGUGAUCCGGUGGUUCUGAAUGGAAGGGCCAUCGCUCAACGGAUAAAAGGUACUCCGGGGAUAACAGGCUGAUACCGCCCAAGAGUUCAUAUCGACGGCGGUGUUUGGCACCUCGAUGUCGGCUCAUCACAUCCUGGGGCUGAAGUAGGUCCCAAGGGUAUGGCUGUUCGCCAUUUAAAGUGGUACGCGAGCUGGGUUUAGAACGUCGUGAGACAGUUCGGUCCCUAUCUGCCGUGGGCGCUGGAGAACUGAGGGGGGCUGCUCCUAGUACGAGAGGACCGGAGUGGACGCAUCACUGGUGUUCGGGUUGUCAUGCCAAUGGCACUGCCCGGUAGCUAAAUGCGGAAGAGAUAAGUGCUGAAAGCAUCUAAGCACGAAACUUGCCCCGA
RNAcentral lists this ribosomal RNA (754 nucleotides) under Salmonella enterica. RNAcentral's name for it is "partial 23S ribosomal RNA". It matches the Rfam family "Bacterial large subunit ribosomal RNA", at positions 2049 to 2802 of the family's 2925-position model. Lineage: Bacteria; Pseudomonadati; Pseudomonadota; Gammaproteobacteria; Enterobacterales; Enterobacteriaceae. The record is from RNAcentral.